CCUAGCCGCCACCCAUGUUUCACCAUCUUCACCUCUCAACACAGCCCCCACCCCCAUCUUCACUCUCAACCUUUCUCGUCCAUGUUUCUCAAUCUUCACCUCUCAGCACAGCCCCCCCUCCCAUCUUCACUCUCAACCUUUCUCGUCCAUGUUUCUCAAUCUUCAUCUCUCAGCACAGCCCCCCCUCCCAUCUUCAUCUCUCAUCUCUCAACUGUUCUCACAGCCCCCCAUCUUCAUCUCUCAACCUUUCUCACGGCCCCCCAUCACAGCCCCCUAUCUUCAUCUCUCAUCUCUCAACCUUUCUCACAGCCCCCCCUCAACAUCUUCAUCUUCAUCUCUCAUCUCUCUCAACCUUUCGUUAAGGCUUUAAGCACAACCCCCCCUCCUCCCUCAAAGUAGAUCUGGUGAACGAACCAUCAUUAUCUCUAAUCUCUCAAUCUUUUUGUUCUUUUCCUUAAGCAUGGUCGACUAAGCUGAUGGAUUAACAACCAAACAGCAGCUCUAGAGCCCCCCUCUCUUCAAUCUUUAUCUCUUAAUUUUUGUCCCUGUUUACUUUUUUUAUGAUUUAUGUAGAUCUAUUAUGUAUUCAUUUUCUAUAUUUAUUUACAAGGUUGUUGAUUUGUUAUAGGAUGUUCAUGUUGCGAUUACUGUAAUGGAUGUUGUGAGAAUUAUUUUUUUCAAAUUUUCGUGUCUCUUGUUCUUUCUGGCUUCUUGAUUUUCAAUUUCAGAAAACCUGCUCGAUAUGCUUGGCCAAGAUGGAAUCGGUUUUUUUCCGGUUUUUCCUUUCAAUUAACCGAACCGAACCGAACCGAAACUGUUCGGUUUGAACCGGUUUCGGUUCGGUUUCGGUUUUGAUUUAAAAAUGAAUAAAUAAAUUGAUUUGGUUAGUUUUUUGGGUGAAAACCGGACCGAACCGGAAAUGCUCACCCCUAA
This 933-nucleotide long non-coding RNA is filed under the name Populus trichocarpa (black cottonwood). RNAcentral's name for it is "long non-coding RNA (PTRI_LNC001344)". Lineage: Eukaryota; Viridiplantae; Streptophyta; Magnoliopsida; Malpighiales; Salicaceae. The record is from RNAcentral.